This 501-nucleotide ribosomal RNA is filed under the name uncultured Kodamaea. RNAcentral describes it as "eukaryotic LSU rRNA". It matches the Rfam family "Eukaryotic large subunit ribosomal RNA", at positions 74 to 668 of the family's 3401-position model. Lineage: Eukaryota; Fungi; Ascomycota; Pichiomycetes; Serinales; Metschnikowiaceae. The record is from RNAcentral.
AUUGCCUCAGUAACGGCGAGUGAAGCGGCAAAAGCUCAAAUUUGAAAUCCCCCCGGGGAGUUGUAAUUUGAAGAUUGCGUCUUGGAGGCGACCGUGUCUAUGUUCCUUGGAACAGGACGUCACAGAGGGUGAGAAUCCCGUGCGGCACGGCCCCCGGCUCCUUAUAAGGCGCUCUCGACGAGUCGAGUUGUUUGGGAAUGCAGCUCAAAGUGGGUGGUAAAUUCCAUCUAAAGCUAAAUACAGGCGAGAGACCGAUAGCGAACAAGUACAGUGAUGGAAAGAUGAAAAGCACUUUGAAAAGAGAGUGAAACAGCACGUGAAAUUGUUGAAAGGGAAGGGCAUGCCGUCAGAUUGUCAGUGUGGGUAAGAAGCGGGGUACAAAGACUGUGGAACGUGGCCCUCGGGUGUUAUAGCCGCAGUUCAUGCCCCGUCUCUUUCCGAGGCCUGCUUUGAGGACACCGACGUAAUGACGGUACGCCGCCCGUCUUGAAACACGGACCA